RNAcentral lists this ribosomal RNA (253 nucleotides) under uncultured bacterium. Its description in RNAcentral is "partial 16S ribosomal RNA". It matches the Rfam family "Bacterial small subunit ribosomal RNA", at positions 524 to 776 of the family's 1533-position model. The record is from RNAcentral.
UACGAAGGGGGCUAGCGUUGUUCGGAAUUACUGGGCGUAAAGCGCGCGCAGGCGGCUAUCCAAGUCAGUGGUGAAAGCCCGGAGCUCAACUCCGGAACUGCCAUUGAAACUGUUUAGCUUGAGGAUGAGAGAGGUGAGUGGAAUUCCCAGUGUAGAGGUGAAAUUCGUAGAUAUUGGGAAGAACACCGGUGGCGAAGGCGGCUCGCUGGCUCAUUACUGACGCUCAGGCGCGAUAGCGUGGGGAGCAAACAGG